Molecule: ribosomal RNA, 499 nt
Filed under: uncultured Streptococcus sp.
Lineage: Bacteria; Bacillati; Bacillota; Bacilli; Lactobacillales; Streptococcaceae
Description: bacterial SSU rRNA
Rfam family: Bacterial small subunit ribosomal RNA
Source: RNAcentral
GACGAACGCUGGCGGCGUGCCUAAUACAUGCAAGUAGAACGCUGAAGGAGGAGCUUGCUUCUCUGGAUGAGUUGCGAACGGGUGAGUAACGCGUAGGUAACCUGCCUGGUAGCGGGGGAUAACUAUUGGAAACGAUAGCUAAUACCGCAUAAUAGUAGAUGUUGCAUGACAUUUACUUAAAAGGUGCAAUUGCAUCACUACCAGAUGGACCUGCGUUGUAUUAGCUAGUUGGUGGGGUAACGGCUCACCAAGGCGACGAUACAUAGCCGACCUGAGAGGGUGAUCGGCCGCACUGGGACUGAGACACGGCCCAGACUCCUACGGGAGGCAGCAGUAGGGAAUCUUCGGCAAUGGACGGAAGUCUGACCGAGCAACGCCGCGUGAGUGAAGAAGGUUUUCGGAUCGUAAAGCUCUGUUGUAAGAGAAGAACGAGUGUGAGAGUGGAAAGUUCACACUGUGACGUAUCUACCAGAAAGGGACGGCUAACUACGUGCCAGCA